CCUACCUUCCAGUUGGGGACAACACUUCUAACGAGGUGCUAAUACCGAAUACCAUCUUUCCGUCGCAUGGCGGAUUGAUGAAAGGCGGCCUCUGCUUGCAUGCUGUCACUGGAUGAUGGUCUCGCGUCCCAUUAGCUUGUUGGUGGGGUAAUGGCCUACCAAGGCGAUGAUGGGUAGCCGGCCUUAGCGGGUGUCCGGCCACACUGGGACUGAGAUACGGCCCAG
This 225-nucleotide ribosomal RNA is filed under the name uncultured bacterium. RNAcentral describes it as "partial 16S ribosomal RNA". It matches the Rfam family "Bacterial small subunit ribosomal RNA", at positions 125 to 334 of the family's 1533-position model. The record is from RNAcentral.